This 282-nucleotide long non-coding RNA is filed under the name Chinchilla lanigera (long-tailed chinchilla). RNAcentral's name for it is "lncRNA (ENSCLAG00000025313.1)". Lineage: Eukaryota; Metazoa; Chordata; Mammalia; Rodentia; Chinchillidae. The record is from RNAcentral.
CUGCAACACAGGACAACAGCUGGGUCCCAGGUGCACAGGCACACACAUGCCUUUGGAGGGCAGAGUAAUUGGUGAGACCAGCAGCAUGGAAGAGUCUGAAGCAACAGCAAGGAGCCACCUGUGGGACUCCAAGAACUCCACCAGCAGAAGUCCAGUCCCAGGCCCACAUCCAGAGGCCGAGAUCAGCUCCAUACCUAGCACAUUUCUGGGAUUAAACAUGGACACUCUUGCCAGAGGAAAACUAGAGGAUCCACCAAAAAUAAAGAUGUGAGGACUCUAACG